This 331-nucleotide ribosomal RNA is filed under the name uncultured bacterium. RNAcentral describes it as "bacterial SSU rRNA". It matches the Rfam family "Bacterial small subunit ribosomal RNA", at positions 568 to 898 of the family's 1533-position model. The record is from RNAcentral.
CGCGUAGGCGGCUUGGCAAGUUGGGUGUGAAAGCCCGGGGCUCAACCCCGGAAUUGCACUCAAGACUGCUUGGCUUGAAUUCGGUAGAGGUUGGUGGAACUCCCAGUGUAGAGGUGAAAUUCGUAGAGAUUGGGAAGAACACCCGUGGCGAAGGCGGCCAACUGGACCGACAUUGACGCUGAGGCGCGAAAGCGUGGGGAUCAAACAGGAUUAGAUACCCUGGUAGUCCACGCCGUAAACGAUGCAUGCUAGACGUCAGAGGGCUCAGCCUUCUUGUGUCGCAGCUAACGCAUUAAGCAUGCCGCCUGGGGAGUACGGCCGCAAGGUUGAA